RNAcentral lists this ribosomal RNA (432 nucleotides) under uncultured bacterium. RNAcentral's name for it is "partial 16S ribosomal RNA". It matches the Rfam family "Bacterial small subunit ribosomal RNA", at positions 29 to 507 of the family's 1533-position model. The record is from RNAcentral.
AACGAACGCUGGCGGCAGGCCUAACACAUGCAAGUCGAGCGGACCUUUCGGGGUCAGCGGCGGACGGGUGAGUAACGCGUGGGAAUAUGCCCUUCUCUACGGAAUAGUCCUGGGAAACUGGGGGUAAUACCGUAUACGCCCUUUGGGGGAAAGAUUAUCGGGGAAGGAUUAGCCCGCGUUGGAUUAGGUAGUUGGUGGGGUAAUGGCCUACCAAGCCGACGAUCCAUAGCUGGUUUGAGAGGAUGAUCAGCCACACUGGGACUGAGACACGGCCCAGACUCCUACGGGAGGCAGCAGUGGGGAAUCUUAGACAAUGGGGGCAACCCUGAUCUAGCCAUGCCGCGUGAGUGAUGAAGGCCUUAGGGUUGUAAAGCUCUUUCAGCUGGGAAGAUAAUGACGGUACCAGCAGAAGAAGCCCCGGCUAACUCCGUG